This is a long non-coding RNA of Marmota monax (woodchuck), 521 nucleotides long. RefSeq lists it as uncharacterized. The record is from RefSeq and is a predicted model, not a curated record. Lineage: Eukaryota; Metazoa; Chordata; Mammalia; Rodentia; Sciuridae. The transcript is spliced from 3 exons.
GAUCACUCCGUUGGCCAUGGCUGGGCGGGCGGCUUGGGAGGCUCCAGUUCACCAAGGGACCAGAACCCCGGGUGCUAGGGGGAGUUUCUGGAAGGCUUGCUAACCUCCAUCUCAUGACUGGGAAGCAGGCUGCUGACAGAUUCAGGUAUCAAAUCUGAAGAGAGUUUCGACAGCGCUGGAGCCCUCCCCUGCUGGAAAUAUUGCAGGAGGUUCCCUCUGAUCAUCAAUCUACCCUCAACAUCAUAGACCGGCCCCUCUCUUAGAGCCUAUAAAAUCAGACAACAGCCACCUUCAUGCUGAGACAGAAUGCAGGGAUCUUGCCAACCUGGGAGCCCUGGUGUAUCGGCCCUGUAUAUCCUGUAUAUUGUAUCUGUCCAAAACCCCAUCCCACCCCAGGGAGUAUGCUGAACAUAGGUCCUUCUCUCCCAGGAGCCCCAUUGGAGACUCCUACCCUACCCAGAGUACCCUCACAAGCUCCUUACUCUAUCCUCUGCCCCUCUGGGAUGAUGGAAUAAAAUCUC